Molecule: long non-coding RNA, 535 nt
Filed under: Ananas comosus (pineapple)
Lineage: Eukaryota; Viridiplantae; Streptophyta; Magnoliopsida; Poales; Bromeliaceae
Description: long non-coding RNA (ACOM_LNC018908)
Source: RNAcentral
AUAUAUAUAUAACUACGCUGGAAUGCUAUCAAUAGCACCAAGUAUUUAGUGCUAUCAAGUUUUUUCGUCUUGGAUGAAAAAAUGUACGGUUAAAAUGAUGUGGGCACUUUAGGAUUGAGUGAGUUGUUGGUUGAAUAGUAUAAUCUAACGGAUAAAAAUAGUUAAAGGGUUAAAUCUAACGGUGAAAAACUUGGUAGCACAAAGUGCUUUGUGUUUUCGAUAAUAUCCUAGCCGGACUAUAUAUAUAUAUAUAAUUGAGCUCCUAUGCUUUUAAAAGUACCAAGUAAUUGGUACUUGUAAGUUUUCGGUCCUUGGAUUAAGAAAUGUACGGUUAGGAUGAUGUGGGCCUCCUAAGGUUGAGUGGAUAGUUGGUUGAAUAGUAUAAUCUAACGGUUGAAAAUGAUUAAAGACGUAAAUCUAACGGUAAAAAAUUUACAAGUACCAUCUGUUUGGUGUUUUUACAACCUUUAUAGCCGGACUCAUAUAUAUAUAUAUAUAUAUAUAUAUAUAUAUAUAUAUAUAUAUAUAUAUAUAU